Molecule: long non-coding RNA, 1535 nt
Organism: Triplophysa dalaica
Lineage: Eukaryota; Metazoa; Chordata; Actinopteri; Cypriniformes; Nemacheilidae
Exons: 6
Source: RefSeq, a predicted model, not a curated record
UUCAGAGUCGCGUUGUUGUUUGUUUGAAUACUUGUUAUAGAUUCGGCCGUAAAUCACCAAUUUUAUUCUAAUAACAUCUGCAAUUAUUCUGUUGGAUUAAUUUCAUGGUUAAUGGUGGAUCUUUUACAUUUGAAAAUUGAUGUUAUGUCUUAAAAUCAAUGGGGAUCUAAAGGCUAAAAUAUUUACGGAGUUGUGCUGUUGUUUCCAUAUACAAGCACGUCAUUAAUGCACAUUCAUUGUUUAUUUUGCUGUUGAAAUGUGUCGGCGAAUGUUUUUAAAUGUAUUUACAAUAAGUCAAGUGAAGUGUGCAUUACACAAGAUAAGAAGAACGUGUGAUGGAACCAGGCCCGGUUCCUGCAGGUGCAAAAGGGUGGGCUAGAUAUCAUGGGUCUGGCUGAUGUUGAAAGUGUCUCGGUAUUGAACUGCACUGAAAAUGAAAUAACAAUGGAAUGGAAUAAAGUGCACAACAUCAAAAAUUAUGUUUAAGUGAUAUUGACUGAUAACAUAAAGAGUUUCAUCAGAGGGUCUGAUAACGUUUCCGUAGUCAGACAAACGGUUUCCUCUCUCUAUCCUGGACGGAUACACUACUUUAUGCUCCACGCUGUAUUAAACAGAGAAAUGAGCGCUGGAUAUCUUUUCCAUGCAGCUACAGCUCCAUCAAAAGCCAACGGCCUUCACUGCGAGUAUUCGUGGAUGGGGAGUAUUAGAACUCUGAAUUGGGAUGCUCAGUUUGGAUUGAGAUCUGAAUUUGAGCUUCGGGUCAACAGUGGAAUUCCAGAACAGGUGAACGUCACAAGAUAUCAGAUUGAUGAUGUGCCUUCAGCUGUACGACUUCACUGUGACAUCACUUUCUAAAGACGGGAGAAGUAGUCCAGUGUCAAUCACAUGUCAAACCAACAAAUCAGGUGCAAUUACAGUAUGUGUGUUGAUUGUUCUUUUAAUAAUUGUGUUGCUUGUAUGUAUGGGAGUCUUCUGCAAGUAUAGAAGAUUUGAUUUCAGAAGAUGUAUUUUGGGAGAACGGGUGAAUGAGCGGAACGCUGCUGAUCAGCCACUGGAUCGGAUCUAUGUAAACACAUCCACUCGCAACACUCCAGAGAAUCACAAUUCAAGUGUUGAAUCAGAGAGUAAAGACAGCGGGGAGAUCAAUCAUUAUGAAGCCCCUGAUGUGAUCGUAUGAAUACUAUUGUAACACUUCUUAUAUAUCCAAUUACUUAAAUCUAUUCACGUUUACUUCAGCUCAGUUUAAAGAUUAACAAAUGUCCUGAUGUUAAUAUAUCAAAAUCGUCAUCACAGUACUUACCAUUGUUGUUUUUUAAAGAGGCUUCUGUCAAUGAUCAAAAAAGUCGAAUACAGAAGCAUGAAGGAAAAACCCAUAAACAUUUGCCUCUCUGGUUUCCAUGUUAAAAUAUAACUCACAUUUGACAGACACUCCCUUUAGAAGGUUUGAUAAAAAGACGAUGCACACAUAUGAAUAUGACAAGAAUAUGUGGUUUAUGCACGUAAAAAUGAUAUCUACUGCUAUAAGUAAUAUUGCA